GAGACAAUGGUUACAUCUUUUCAUGGAUUCUAAACUCUAUCUGCCAGUCACUUUUUGUGUGUGCAUUCACUGAGGGUGUACAGAAUGGAAUUACAGAGGCAGAAGAAAAGAGGUCUCUGCCAAAUUGAUAGUUUAAAAAACAUUUUAGUGGCCUACUUAACUGUAAUUUGUUUUAGUUUUAAACAAGAAAAACCUCAGCAUGUAAGCAAAGCAGACUGGACUUGAACAGAUAUGGAAUGCAAAGCACACAGGAGAGUCAUGGGGGUCCUGAAGGGGGAUUAGAAGUUGGACAACUUUUUAUGCAAUGAACAACGUUGCAUUGGAGACAGUGGAUUAAACAGUAGUGCAUAUCACUUGGCUGAAGUGACAGGAAUAAAGAACAGAAUGCAUCCACUCCUCCAGUCUCAUUAAGCUGCCUCUUUCUCCUGAAAUUGGAUUGGGAUUCCAGGACACCUCUUAACCUACAGGAAACACUGGAUCUAAAGCUGAAACAGG
Molecule: long non-coding RNA, 495 nt
Filed under: Pongo abelii (Sumatran orangutan)
Lineage: Eukaryota; Metazoa; Chordata; Mammalia; Primates; Hominidae
Description: lincRNA
Source: RNAcentral